Molecule: ribosomal RNA, 496 nt
Filed under: uncultured Bacteroidota bacterium
Lineage: Bacteria; Pseudomonadati; Bacteroidota
Description: bacterial SSU rRNA
Rfam family: Bacterial small subunit ribosomal RNA
Source: RNAcentral
GUGAAGCCUCACUUUGUAGCAAUACACCUGCCAGUAAGGUGCUGCAUGGCUGUCGUCAGCUCGUGCCGUGAGGUGUUGGGUUAAGUCCCGCAACGAGCGCAACCCCCAUCACUAGUUGCCAUCAGGUAACGCUGGGAACUCUAGUGAAACUGCCGUCGUAAGACGUGAGGAAGGAGGGGAUGAUGUCAAGUCAUCAUGGCCUUUAUGCCCAGGGCUACACACGUGCUACAAUGGGGCGUACAAAGGGCUGCAACAUAGCGAUAUGAAGCUAAUCCCAAAAAACGCCUCUCAGUUCAGAUUGGAGUCUGCAACUCGACUCCAUGAAGCUGGAAUCGCUAGUAAUCGUAUAUCAGCAAUGAUACGGUGAAUACGUUCCCGGACCUUGCACACACCGCCCGUCAAGCCAUGGAAGCCGGGUGUACCUAAAGUCGGUAACCGUAAGGAGCCGCCUAGGGUAAAACUGGUGACUGGGGUGAAGUCGUAACAAGGUAGCCGU